This is a small nucleolar RNA of Osmerus eperlanus (European smelt), 166 nucleotides long. RefSeq annotates it as small nucleolar RNA SNORA23. The record is from RefSeq and is a predicted model, not a curated record. The transcript has a single exon. Lineage: Eukaryota; Metazoa; Chordata; Actinopteri; Osmeriformes; Osmeridae.
GGUGGAUGGUGUGCGUAGUGCUGUCUGUGUCAUGUGCUGCUGCCAGCCUGUGUCUUACAGGCUGGCAGCAGUGCUCACUCCUCACCUGCGGCCUUAGAGACACUGGAGAUCAUAGUACUGGCUUUUUGACAUAUUCCGUUGCCAGCCUCCAAAUUCUCCUACAAAC